RNAcentral lists this non-coding RNA (89 nucleotides) under Prosthecochloris aestuarii DSM 271. RNAcentral describes it as "SAM-Chlorobi RNA". It matches the Rfam family "SAM-Chlorobi RNA". Lineage: Bacteria; Pseudomonadati; Chlorobiota; Chlorobiia; Chlorobiales; Chlorobiaceae. The record is from RNAcentral.
AGGCAUCCCCAUUACCUAUGGACACGGUGCCGCAAUCUCCGGAAGAGAUCGUUCGACCGGAAGAUUGUUGUCGGGUUUUCCGUGUCCAU